Molecule: long non-coding RNA, 662 nt
Filed under: Lupinus mutabilis
Lineage: Eukaryota; Viridiplantae; Streptophyta; Magnoliopsida; Fabales; Fabaceae
Description: partial ncRNA
Source: RNAcentral
GUUAACUUGUUCUUUAUAUGUAUAUUCUAUUGUGACGGUAGCAAUCAUGAUAACACUGAUACAUUGUUACCUUAUUCUAUGGUGAAAAGCUUAAUUUUAGGGGGGGAAAACUGAUACAUUGUUAGCUUGCAGAGUAUUAGCAAUCAUGAUACUACAUCCAAAAAGCAUCAGCCUGUUGCUAAUGAAAAGAAGAUGAAUUUGCUAGCCACUGUAGUUCCAAAGAAAGAAAUGGGAGGCUGGAAGCCAGUGAAAAGAGAGAGAGUAACUUUUUCAGACAGAAAAUCUGAGAAGGUGCACAAGGAAAAUGAACCAUACACUGAAAAGUAUCCACAGGUCAGAAGAGACUGUGCAAUUGUCAUUGAAUCUGAUGAGGAUACUGAUGCAGGGUUUUCCUGCUUGGUUGGAAAAAAUGCAGGAAAAGACCUAUUCGGGAAAUUGACGACGGAAGAAGAGGAAGAAGCUCAGUCGAUUUUGCAAAAAGCAAGGAGACGCAAGAGAAGGCAUUCUAACGCUAUGCCUAUAAUAAUCCUCUGAAGAAGGUACCCCUCUUCUAACUAUCAUGUUAGUAGUAUUUGAACUGCAUUCUAUCAAAUGCAGCUCAGGAUUGAAUGAUUUAUAGCUGUGUAAUUAAUAAGGCACUCAUCUAUUUUAAUGAUUUAAUC